Molecule: ribosomal RNA, 253 nt
Filed under: uncultured bacterium
Lineage: Bacteria
Description: partial 16S ribosomal RNA
Rfam family: Bacterial small subunit ribosomal RNA
Source: RNAcentral
UACAGAGGUCCCAAGCGUUGUUCGGAUUCAUUGGGCGUAAAGGGUGCGUAGGCGGCGCGGUAAGUCGGGUGUGAAAUCUCGGAGCUUAACUCCGAAACUGCAUUCGAUACUGCCGUGCUUGAGGACUGGAGAGGAGAGUGGAAUUCCUGGUGUAGCGGUGAAAUGCGCAGAUAUCAGGAAGAACACCUAUGGCGAAGGCAGCUCUCUGGGACGGUACUGACGCUGAGACGCGAAAGCGUGGGGAGCGAACAGG